UUUUAAUUGAUAUCGCAUAAAUUAAAAAGUGGUGUACAGGUGAGUAUAAUGAUAUUCUUAGCCGACCUUAAAGUGAAGGUAAAUCCUUCAUAAUACAUAAAGGGAUAUGUAAUCCUGCUUUAAGAGGACAAUAAAUAUCUUCGGGAUAGGUAGUAGUUAAGGUGAUGGCUUAACUAGCCUAAAACUCUCGUAGUCGAAGCUGAAAGGUUGAUCGACCACAUUGGGUCUGAAAAAACCCCAAUGCAAGUUAGUACAGCAGUGAGGAAUCUUGGUCAAUGGCCUAACGGCUGAACUGGCAACUUGGAGAAGUGGCAAGUCUUACUUUGAUUAUAUUACUAUAUAUAAUCUAUAAGAUUGUAUUAAAAUUGAAUAAAGCUUUGUUUAUAUAUUGAUAAUGACAGUAUAUAUAUCGUGUCUUGACUAAUUACGUGCCAGCAGUCGCGGUAAUACGUAAGAGACUAGUGUUAUUCAUCUUAAUUAGGUUUAAAGGGUACCUAGACGGUCAAUAUAGCUUCUAUAAUGUUAGUACUUGACUAGAGUUUGAUAUAAGAGGGCAGUACUUGAGGAGGAGAGAUGAAAUUCUAUUAUACCAAAGGGACUCGGUAAAGGCGAAGGCAGCCCUCUAUGUAAAAACUGACGUUGAAGGACGAAGGCACAGAGAACAAACAGGAUUAGAUACCCAAGUAGUCUUUGCAGUAAAUGAUGAAUGCCAUAGAUUAGAUUGAGCUUUAAUAAAUUAGUUUAUCAGUAGUAAACUAACUAUUAAACAAUAUUUAGUCUAUAAAUGAAAGUGUAAGCAUUCCACCUCAAGAGUAAUGUGGCAACGCAGGAACUGAAAUCACUAGACCGUUUCUGACACCAGUAGUGAAGUAUGUUGUUUAAUUCGAUGAUCCACGAAAAACCUUACCACAAUUUGAAUAUUUUACAGGAGUUGCACGGCUGUUUUCAGUUAAUGUUGUGAAACUGUGGUUUCCAUGAAAUUAACGCAAUCCCUGGCUUUAUUUUUUUAAAGCGUAAGCUCUACGAUAAAGCAUUUGAUCCAGGAUUUGGAAAGAAAAAGGGGACAAAGACAAGUCAUCAUGGCCUGCUGAAUGAUCUAGGAAAUCAUGAUCGUGGGAUAAACUAUCAAACUCCGGGGACACCCUAAAGUUUCUGGUACUAAGCUAUAUAUGAAAAUAUACUAGUGGCUGAAGUAAUUACUCAGGUACAGUAACAAGCCAGAAAAUGAUUGAAAAAGAAAUGGGUUAUCGCGGAUCUAAGUCAAAUAAAGGUAAUACUUUAUUUGUAAAAGAGCAACGAGUAGACGGUAGUUAUGUUAAGAAAUUGACAUUAAGGUAUACUCUAACGGGUUUCGAAAGAAAUUAUCAAGUCAAAAUCCUUUCUAACCAAAUAAAUCAAAUAAGGACGUAUUCAGCCAAUAACAUUUCCCAGAAAAAAGAUGUUAUGGGUUUAAUUAAUCCUUGGUUCAUGACAGGUUUUACCGAUGCAGAAGGAACUUUCUCUAUAUCAAUUCAACAUAAUGAAAAUUAUGACACAAAUUGAAGAGUUAAGCCCGUAUUUGCUAUAGGAUUACAUUCUAAAGAUCUAGAUAUUUUAGAAAAUAUAAAAUAUUUUUGAAAAGUAGGUAAUAUACAUAAACAUGGUAAACAUUCUUUACAGUAUAGAGUUGAAUCUAUCAAAGACUUACAAGUAAUUAUAGAUCAUUUUGAUAGAUAUCCGCUUGUAACAUGUAAAAGAGUUGAUUAUGAUAUAUUUAAACAAGCUUUUAUUCUUAUAAAGGAAAGAAAACAUCUUAAAGAUCCAGGUCUUCUUAAAGUAGUAGGUUUAAAAUCAAUUCUUAAUUUAGGUUUAACUACUAAACUUAAACAAGAGUUCCCUACUUGAAAAGACAUUGAGGCAAAUAAACCUGAGUAUAUAUUUAAAGAUAUACCGAAUCCUCAAUGAAUGGCCGGAUUUUCUAGUGGAGAUAGUAGUUUUAAUAUUAAAAUAAGUAAAUCUUUAACUAGUAAGUUAAGCACAAGAGUUCAAUUAAGAUUUUCUAUAGAUUUACACAUAAGAGAAAAAGAGUUAAUUAAUUUUUGUGUUAAAUUCUUUAAUUUAACUGAAGAUAAGUAUGUUUAUUUAAAAAGUAACUCUGUUAGUUUACAAAUAACUAAUUUAAAAGAUAUUAGUAAUGUAAUUAUACCUUUCUUUAAAAAGUACCCUAUUAAAGGUAAGAAAAGUUUAGAUUUUAUAGAAUUUGAUAAAGUUGUGACAAUGGUGAACAAUAAGCAACAUCUAACUCAAGAAGGGUUAGAUCAAAUAUUAACUAUUAAAUCUAGUAUGAAUCAAUAAAUUUAUUUGAUUUAUUUGUAUGAUAAAUUUGAUCGCUGUGUGAUAUUGUGGGCUAUAGACGUGCCACAUAUUCCUACACAAAGAGAUGCAAAAAUGUGAAUUUAAGCUAAUCUCUAAAAAUAGGAUAUAAAUUUUAAGGAUUGUAGUCUGAAACUCGACUACAUGAAUAAGUAAUUACUAGUAAUCGUGAAUCACCAUGUCACGGUGAAUUAACCUUGGAUUGGUACUAACCACUCGUCACAUGCUGAAAAGAGUAUGCGCAAUAAGUUUGCUUUUUCAAUGAUUAGUAAAAAUAACAAGCAGGUUUUAUAUUCUAUUAUUGGAAAUCUUCGUAUGCGUGACUCUAAUUAGUGUUAAGUCGAAAUACGGUUCGUGUAGUGGAAGUUGCACGGGAUUAAUUAAUUUUA
This 2741-nucleotide ribosomal RNA is filed under the name Epichloe festucae var. lolii. RNAcentral describes it as "SSU rRNA". The stretch from base 1 to 1184 matches the Rfam family "Bacterial small subunit ribosomal RNA". Lineage: Eukaryota; Fungi; Ascomycota; Sordariomycetes; Hypocreales; Clavicipitaceae. The record is from RNAcentral.